Molecule: ribosomal RNA, 426 nt
Filed under: uncultured bacterium
Lineage: Bacteria
Description: bacterial SSU rRNA
Rfam family: Bacterial small subunit ribosomal RNA
Source: RNAcentral
UGGGGAAUUUUGGACAAUGGGGGCAACCCUGAUCCAGCCAUGCCGCGUGCGGGAAGAAGGCCUUCGGGUUGUAAACCGCUUUUAGUCGGGAAGAAAAGGCCAAGGUGAAUACCCUUGGUUUUUGACGGUACCGGCGGAAUAAGCACCGGCUAACUACGUGCCAGCAGCCGCGGUAAUACGUAGGGUGCGAGCGUUAAUCGGAAUUACUGGGCGUAAAGCGUGCGCAGGCGGUUCGCUGUGUCCGAUGUGAAAGCCCCGGGCUUAACCUGGGAAUGGCAUGGGAAACUGGCGGGCUUGAGUGUGGCAGAGGGGGGUGGAAUUCCGCGUGUAGCAGUGAAAUGCGUAGAGAUGCGGAGGAACACCGAUGGCGAAGGCAGCCCCCUGGGCUAACACUGACGCUCAGGCACGAAAGCGUGGGGAGCAAAC